RNAcentral lists this long non-coding RNA (1169 nucleotides) under Rhinopithecus bieti (black snub-nosed monkey). RNAcentral's name for it is "lncRNA (ENSRBIG00000046138.1)". The record is from RNAcentral. Lineage: Eukaryota; Metazoa; Chordata; Mammalia; Primates; Cercopithecidae.
UGAUUCUGAGCCUGAGAUCCUGAAAAUAUUUCAGUUGUUGUUAAGAGGCUGGAGUUAGGACCCAGGAAGGACACAGCAGUGGGGAUAUAAAUAGAGAAGGAGAACAGAACAAGGUUUGAGGAGAGAGACUUACAUCACUCACUCCCUCUCCACCCAGAGAGCAGGACGGAGGUGUGAACUUGAGCCAGACCAGAAGGAGCUCCAGAGUGGCCGCAGGACAAGUCCGAGGAGCAGGCGGGUGCUCCAGGGAAAAACCACACACAAAACCUUCUUCGGAGAAAAGGGAAGCAGCAAACCUGACUGAGACAAACGGAGGCUUUUGAAAUAAAAAGAAAACACCGCAGGACGAACAGCCUCCCGUCCCAGGCGCAGGUCGCAGUCACAGUGGUGACCUGGGAUUGCUUUCCCGGGACUGUGAGUCGGGUUUGGGUUUCUCCUCCCUGCAUUCCACAGCUGCUCUGGUCAUCGCAGCGUGUUUAUUGAUCACUGAAGAAUCUCAAGUUUUGAGACAAGGAAGAAACACCCAUUAGAUCUCCAAAACAGCUGCGUUUCACAAACUUUAAGGAGACAGAACUUUUUUUUUUCUCCCUGGAACCUGUGAAAAUGUCCCUUUUCCAAGGAAGUGAAGGUUAAGAGGUCCCGUUCUCACAGACCCUCAGGAAUUUCACUUGGCUCUGAGCUUUGACCUCCCAGAAAGCCAUGGCAAAGCUGCUGCGGCUGUGCUGCUGGUACUCCCGCCUGCUGCUAUUUUAUUACAACUUUCAGGUGCGUGGCGUCUACUCCAGAUCGCAGGACCAUCCAGGAUUUCAGGUCUUGGCGUCUGCUUCCCAUUACUGGCCACUGGAGAAUGUGGAUGGGAUCCAUGAACUUCAGGAUACAACUGGAGCGUCCCGAACCCACCAGCUCACUGUGCUUCCUUCCCGUAAUGCUACCUUUGUGUAUUCCAAUGACUCUGCCUACUCAAAUCUCUCUGCAACCGUAGAUAUUGUGGAAGGGAAGGUCAACAAAGGCAUUUACCUGAAAGAGGAAAAGGGAGUCACGCUUCUCUAUUAUGGCAGGUACAACAGCUCCUGCAUUAGCAAGCCAGAGCAGUGUGGCCCUGAAGGUGAGUAGCUGAUCCCUGCGGCGUCUUUGUCAUGCAUUUCAUUAUCAGGGAGCACCUGCUCCUC